UACUCACUGUGUAAAUAACACACACGGGUCGGCACAUACACCGGGGUGCUCUCAUGCAGAACAUGCAGCUAAAGAGUCGGUGUUAUGGGGCUCGUGGAGGCAUAAC
RNAcentral lists this small RNA (106 nucleotides) under Photorhabdus laumondii subsp. laumondii TTO1. RNAcentral's name for it is "Photorhabdus luminescens subsp. laumondii TTO1 t44 RNA". It matches the Rfam family "t44 RNA". Rfam says of the family: This family consists of a number of bacterial RNA genes of between 135 and 170 bases in length. The t44 gene is found between the map and rpsB genes in all species in the full alignment apart from Shigella flexneri. Lineage: Bacteria; Pseudomonadati; Pseudomonadota; Gammaproteobacteria; Enterobacterales; Morganellaceae. The record is from Rfam by way of RNAcentral.